AUUGAACGCUGGCGGCAUGCCUAACACAUGCAAGUCUAACGGCGGCAUGCUCUGUAGCAAUACAGAGUGAUGGCGAGUGGCGGACGGGUGAGUAAUACGUAGGGAUCUGCCUUGAAGAGGGGGGACAACCCGGGGAAACUCGGGCUAAUACCGCAUGAUACUCUAAGGAGGAAAGGGUUGGCGCAAGCCAGUCGCUUUAAGAGGAACCGACGUCCGAUUAGCUAGUUGGUAAGGUAAAGGCUUACCAAGGCAGAGAUCGGUAGCUGGUCUGAGAGGAUGACCAGCCACACUGGGACUGAGACACGGCCCAGACUCCUACGGGAGGCAGCAGUGGGGAAUAUUGGACAAUGGGGGCAACCCUGAUCCAGCGAUGCCGCGUGUGUGAAGAAGGCCUUCGGGUUGUAAAGCACUUUAGUUGGGGAAGAAGGCUUGCGGUUGAAUAGGCCGCAAGAUUGACGGUACCCAAAGAAUAAGCACCGGCUAACUCUGUGCCAGCCGCCGCCGUAA
RNAcentral lists this ribosomal RNA (507 nucleotides) under uncultured bacterium. RNAcentral describes it as "partial 16S ribosomal RNA". It matches the Rfam family "Bacterial small subunit ribosomal RNA", at positions 29 to 523 of the family's 1533-position model. The record is from RNAcentral.